Molecule: ribosomal RNA, 253 nt
Filed under: uncultured bacterium
Lineage: Bacteria
Description: partial 16S ribosomal RNA
Rfam family: Bacterial small subunit ribosomal RNA
Source: RNAcentral
UACGAAGGGGGCAAGUGUUGUUCGGAAUAACUGGGCGUAAAGCGCACGUAGGCGGAUUUGUAAGUCAGGGGUGAAAUCCCGGGGCUCAACCUCGGAACUGCCUUUGAUACUGCAAGUCUGGAGUCCGGAAGAGGUGAGUGGAAUUCCUAGUGUAGAGGUGAAAUUCGUAGAUAUUAGGAAGAACACCAGUGGCGAAGGCGGCUCACUGGUCCGGUACUGACGCUGCGGUGCGAAAGCGUGGGGAGCAAACAGG